UCAGUAAACCUAUGCUAGCUUCUGCA
This 26-nucleotide non-coding RNA is filed under the name Mus musculus (house mouse). The record is from RNAcentral. Lineage: Eukaryota; Metazoa; Chordata; Mammalia; Rodentia; Muridae.